RNAcentral lists this ribosomal RNA (305 nucleotides) under uncultured bacterium. Its description in RNAcentral is "bacterial SSU rRNA". It matches the Rfam family "Bacterial small subunit ribosomal RNA", at positions 335 to 638 of the family's 1533-position model. The record is from RNAcentral.
UUGCCUACGGGGCGCAGCAGUGAGGAAUAUUGGUCAAUGGGCGCAGGCCUGAACCAGCCAAGUCGCGUGAGAGAAGACUGCCCUAUGGGUUGUAAACCUCUUUUAUAAGGGAAGAAUAAUGACUACGUGUAGUCAGAUGCCCGUACCUUAUGAAUAAGCAUCGGCUAACUCCGUGCCAGCAGCCGCGGUAAUACGGAGGAUGCGAGCGUUAUCCGGAUUUAUUGGGUUUAAAGGGUGCGUAGGCGGUUUUUUAAGUUAGUGGUUAAACGUCGGGGCUUCACCUUGAUUUGCCAUUAAUACUGUAA